Molecule: non-coding RNA, 426 nt
Organism: Lates calcarifer (barramundi perch)
Lineage: Eukaryota; Metazoa; Chordata; Actinopteri; Centropomidae
Source: the annotation of a RefSeq genome assembly
UUCAGUAUGUCUGCUGUGGCUGUGUCUCAUUUCAUCAGAAUCAUAAUGACAGCUCCAAUACUCAUCACAUUUGCAGUCUCAUCUCUGUGGCUUCAAGUUCGCUGCCAGGAUUUGACCCAACACCCUGCAAUCAGCUGGAAUUAUGAGUCCAAAUCUGCAGAGAUGAACUGCAGCCACAACAAAGGCAUUACUUAUAACCAGAUGUACUGGUACAGACAGCGUCCAGGAGAGACCAUGACCUUCAUUGUCUACACAGUUUUUAUGGGGCAGCCAGACUAUGGGGGGCUCUCUCAAACCAAAUAUUCAGCUAACAAAGAUACAAUAGAGACGGGGGCUCUUACUGUGAAAAACCUGCAGCCUGAGGACAGUGGAGUGUAUUUCUGUGCUGCUGGUAAACACAGUGACGUGAGACGUAUGAGCAGCUGA